UGUGUAGGUGGCAAGGUAAGUUAGGUGUGAAAUCCUCGGGCUUAACCUGAGAAUUGCGCUUAAUACUGCCUAGCUAGAGUACUGCAGAGGGUAGUGGAAUUUCCAGUGUAGCGGUGAAAUGCGUAGAUAUUGGAAGGAACACCAGUGGCGAAGGCGACUACCUGGAUAGAUACUGACACUGAGACACGAAAGCGUGGGUAGCAAACA
Molecule: ribosomal RNA, 207 nt
Filed under: uncultured bacterium
Lineage: Bacteria
Description: partial 16S ribosomal RNA
Rfam family: Bacterial small subunit ribosomal RNA
Source: RNAcentral